CGUAUAGACCGUACCCGAAACCGACACAGGUGGUCAGGUAGAGAAUACCAAGGCGCUUGAGAGAAGUGUCCUGAAGGAACUCGGCAAAUUGCCUCCGUACCUUCGGAAGAAGGAGGCCCUCAUUGCGCGCAAGCGUUUUGAGGGGGCACAGGCCAGGGGGUAGCGACUGUUUAGCAAAAACACAGGGCUCUGCUAAGUCGGCUUCAAGACGACGUAUAGGGCCUGACGC
RNAcentral lists this ribosomal RNA (229 nucleotides) under Escherichia coli. RNAcentral's name for it is "partial 23S ribosomal RNA". It matches the Rfam family "Bacterial large subunit ribosomal RNA", at positions 1634 to 1858 of the family's 2925-position model. The record is from RNAcentral. Lineage: Bacteria; Pseudomonadati; Pseudomonadota; Gammaproteobacteria; Enterobacterales; Enterobacteriaceae.